UCCCAGAAAUCGACCUCAGCCAGGCCC
This 27-nucleotide non-coding RNA is filed under the name Mus musculus (house mouse). The record is from RNAcentral. Lineage: Eukaryota; Metazoa; Chordata; Mammalia; Rodentia; Muridae.